Molecule: ribosomal RNA, 497 nt
Filed under: uncultured bacterium
Lineage: Bacteria
Description: partial 16S ribosomal RNA
Rfam family: Bacterial small subunit ribosomal RNA
Source: RNAcentral
GACGAACGCUGGCGGCGUGCCUAAUACAUGCAAGUUGAGCGAUGAAGCUUGGUGCUUGCACCAAUUUGAAGAGCAGCGAACGGGUGAGUAACGCGUGGGGAAUCUGCCUUUGAGCGGGGGACAACAUUUGGAAACGAAUGCUAAUACCGCAUAACAACUUUAAACAUAAGUUUUAAGUUUGAAAGAUGCAACUGCAUCACUCAAAGAUGAUCCCGCGUUGUAUUAGCUAGUUGGUGAGGUAAAGGCUCACCAAGGCGAUGAUACAUAGCCGACCUGAGAGGGUGAUCGGCCACAUUGGGACUGAGACACGGCCCAAACUCCUACGGGAGGCAGCAGUAGGGAAUCUUCGGCAAUGGACGAAAGUCUGACCGAGCAACGCCGCGUGAGUGAAGAAGGUUUUCGGAUCGUAAAACUCUGUUGGUAGAGAAGAACGUUGGUGAGAGUGGAAAGCUCAUCAAGUGACGGUAACUACCCAGAAAGGGACGGCUAACUACGUG